ACACUGCUGAGGAAUCUAAUAAUAGGACGAAACGACCGUCCAGUGC
RNAcentral lists this non-coding RNA (46 nucleotides) under Schistosoma mattheei. The record is from RNAcentral. Lineage: Eukaryota; Metazoa; Platyhelminthes; Trematoda; Strigeidida; Schistosomatidae.